This 758-nucleotide ribosomal RNA is filed under the name uncultured bacterium. RNAcentral's name for it is "bacterial SSU rRNA". It matches the Rfam family "Bacterial small subunit ribosomal RNA", at positions 738 to 1504 of the family's 1533-position model. The record is from RNAcentral.
AACUGACGCUCAGUCCCGAAAGCGUGGGGAGCAAAUAGGAUUAGAUACCCUAGUAGUCCACGCCGUAAACGAUGAGUACUAAGUGUUGGAUGUCAAAGUUCAGUGCUGCAGUUAACGCAAUAAGUACUCCGCCUGAGUAGUACGUUCGCAAGAAUGAAACUCAAAGGAAUUGACGGGGGCCCGCACAAGCGGUGGAGCAUGUGGUUUAAUUCGAAGCAACGCGAAGAACCUUACCAGGUCUUGACAUACUCAUAAAGGCUCCAGAGAUGGAGAGAUAGCUAUAUGAGAUACAGGUGGUGCAUGGUUGUCGUCAGCUCGUGUCGUGAGAUGUUGGGUUAAGUCCCGCAACGAGCGCAACCCUUAUCGUUAGUUACCAUCAUUAAGUUGGGGACUCUAGCGAGACUGCCAGUGACAAGCUGGAGGAAGGCGGGGAUGACGUCAAAUCAUCAUGCCCCUUAUGACCUGGGCUACACACGUGCUACAAUGGAUGGUGCAGAGGGAAGCGAAGCCGCGAGGUGAAGCAAAACCCAUAAAACCAUUCUCAGUUCGGAUUGUAGUCUGCAACUCGACUACAUGAAGUUGGAAUCGCUAGUAAUCGCGAAUCAGCAUGUCGCGGUGAAUACGUUCUCGGGCCUUGUACACACCGCCCGUCACACCACGAGAGUUGAUAACACCCGAAGCCGGUGGCCUAACCGCAAGGAAGGAGCUGUCUAAGGUGGGAUUGAUGAUUGGGGUGAAGUCGUAACAAGGUAACCGUA